This 265-nucleotide ribosomal RNA is filed under the name uncultured bacterium. RNAcentral's name for it is "partial 16S ribosomal RNA". It matches the Rfam family "Bacterial small subunit ribosomal RNA", at positions 86 to 354 of the family's 1533-position model. The record is from RNAcentral.
AAAGGCUUAGUGGCGGACGGGUGAGUAACGCGUGGGUAACCUGGCCCAUACAGGGGGAUAACACUUAGAAAUAGGUGCUAAUACCGCAUAACAACAGAAAGCGCAUGCUUUUGUUGAAAACCAAGGUGGUAUGGGAUGGACCCGCGUCUGAUUAGCUGGUUGGCAGGGUAAAGGCCCACCAAGGCGACGAUCAGUAGCCGGCCUGAGAGGGUGGACGGCCACAUUGGGACUGAGACACGGCCCAAACUCCUACGGGAGGCAGCAG